Molecule: long non-coding RNA, 313 nt
Filed under: Lathyrus oleraceus (garden pea)
Lineage: Eukaryota; Viridiplantae; Streptophyta; Magnoliopsida; Fabales; Fabaceae
Description: Pisum sativum (pea) long non-coding RNA (PSAT_LNC033549)
Source: RNAcentral
AGUUUUUUUAGGCAGUUUUCUUACCAUUGUAAAAGUGAUAGUUUCUCCACAUAGGGGACUAUUACGGUUUAUUAUUUUUGAUGCAUUUCAGAUUCAAUUGUAAGGGUUAUUCAUUUCCAAAGCUUGCCGGAAUUAUUUUAAUCAAAGAUUCAAGAUUCAGUUCCAGUUCUUAAAUUGCAAUCCAGGUUUUAUUUUGAUUACUGUUUUAUUUAUUUAUGCCUUAUUGUAUGUUUAAUUCCCCAAUCACCAUGUCUGUUACCGGAUCCAUGUCCGGCUAAACCCUUAGGUAUCGGUAUGUAAAGACCGUCGAAAC